RNAcentral lists this ribosomal RNA (402 nucleotides) under uncultured archaeon. RNAcentral describes it as "bacterial SSU rRNA". It matches the Rfam family "Archaeal small subunit ribosomal RNA", at positions 321 to 727 of the family's 1478-position model. The record is from RNAcentral.
CCCUAUGGGGUGCAGCAGGCGCGAAAACUUUACAAUGCGGGCAACCGUGAUAAGGAAACCCCGAGUGCCACCACAGGGUGGCUGUCCACCAGUGUAAAAAACUGGUGAAGAAAGGGCCGGGCAAGACCGGUGCCAGCCGCCGCGGUAAUACCGGCGGCUCGAGUGGUGGCCGCUUUUACUGGGCUUAAAGGGUCCGUAGCUUGAUUCACAAGUCCCUUGAGAAAUCCAUCGGCUUAACUGAUGGGCGUUCAGGGGAUACUGUGGUUCUAGGGACCGGGAGAGGUGAGAGGUACUGCCGGGGUAGGAGUGAAAUCCUGUAAUCCCGGUGGGACGACCUAUGGCGAAGGCAUCUCACCAGAACGGCUCCGACAGUGAGGGACGAAAGCUGGGGGAGCAAACCGG